Molecule: long non-coding RNA, 660 nt
Organism: Cucurbita maxima (winter squash)
Lineage: Eukaryota; Viridiplantae; Streptophyta; Magnoliopsida; Cucurbitales; Cucurbitaceae
Exons: 3
Source: RefSeq, a predicted model, not a curated record
AAUGAAAGGGAAAAUCAAGAAGGAAUCGGGAAUACUGGAAUCUGGGUGUGCCAAUUUCUAUCAGAAUCCAUAAAUAUUUCUUCUUUGUUUAAAGAUUGGCGGGAGAUUCCCCUGCGCUGCCCUAAUUUCAGCGAUCGCUGUAUUUAAAUGCCGAUGCCAAAGUUCUAGCGGCAUUGUUCGACAUCCGGAGCGGAAGUUCUUAUGCCCAAAUAGCAGAAAUAAGCUACGUCGUAUGUCUAAAUUUGGUCAGUGAUUUGCUUUGGUGAUGUAUUUUGUAUGCACAGUCGUUAAUCUUCAUAUUCUGCAUGAAUUAGAUUUUCAAGCUUUCUGAUCCGGCCAUUUCCGUUUCCGUUCUUGACUUUCUUGAAAAGGAGUUUACCAUAUGCAUUUUAUUGCAGUUUUUUUUUUCUUUUUUUUUUCACUCGGGAAUGUUGAUUUCAGCCUUGAAACCUGCAGGGGGUUCAAUCAUUUGAGUUGUCUAGAGCCCCUGUUUACAUUAUGCUGGAGUUAACAUCUAUGCUCUUUUUUUCGCGUCUUCCAUUAAGUGAAUUUGUUAAACGGAGUUCGAAUUUAGAUUGCAUCUUUGUUAGGAAUUUACUCUCCACAAUGGUUGGAUUUUGGAGUCCUUAAACAAAGUAUACUAUUUGCUCGACUCACAAC